Molecule: non-coding RNA, 35 nt
Filed under: Trypanosoma brucei brucei
Lineage: Eukaryota; Euglenozoa; Kinetoplastea; Trypanosomatida; Trypanosomatidae
Source: RNAcentral
AUAACACUACUAACACCAACUAAAAUAUGAUGAGU